Molecule: ribosomal RNA, 463 nt
Filed under: uncultured Pseudomonadota bacterium
Lineage: Bacteria; Pseudomonadati; Pseudomonadota
Description: bacterial SSU rRNA
Rfam family: Bacterial small subunit ribosomal RNA
Source: RNAcentral
GAUCGGCCCGCGUCUGAUUAGCUAGUUGGUGAGGUAAUGGCUCACCAAGGCGACGAUCAGUAGCUGGUCUGAGAGGAUGAUCAGCCACAUUGGGACUGAGACACGGCCCAAACUCCUACGGGAGGCAGCAGUGGGGAAUAUUGGACAAUGGGGGCAACCCUGAUCCAGCCAUGCCGCGUGAGUGAUGAAGGCCCUAGGGUUGUAAAGCUCUUUUGUGCGGGAAGAUAAUGACGGUACCGCAAGAAUAAGCCCCGGCUAACUUCGUGCCAGCAGCCGCGGUAAUACGAAGGGGGCUAGCGUUGCUCGGAAUCACUGGGCGUAAAGGGUGCGUAGGCGGGUCUUUAAGUCAGGGGUGAAAUCCUGGAGCUCAACUCCAGAACUGCCUUUGAUACUGAAGAUCUUGAGUUCGGGAGAGGUGAGUGGAACUGCGAGUGUAGAGGUGAAAUUCGUAGAUAUUCGCAAG